GUGUCAGCAGCCGCGGUAAGACGUAGGAGGCGAGCGUUAUCCGGAUUCACUGGGCGUAAAGCGCAUGUAGGCGGUUGGAUAAGUCUGUUGUUAAAGCCCCCGGCUCAACUGGGGGAGGUCAAUGGAGACUGUCCGACUUGAGGGCAACAGAGGCACAUGGAACUCCCGGUGUAGCGGUGGAAUGCGUAGAGAUCGGGAAGAACACCCGUGGCGAAGGCGGUGUGCUGGGUUGCAACUGACGCUGAGAUGCGAAAGUGUGGGUAGCAAACGGGAUUAGAAACCCGAGUAGUCC
This 292-nucleotide ribosomal RNA is filed under the name uncultured bacterium. Its description in RNAcentral is "partial 16S ribosomal RNA". It matches the Rfam family "Bacterial small subunit ribosomal RNA", at positions 505 to 796 of the family's 1533-position model. The record is from RNAcentral.